CACAUGCAGUCGAGGGGUAUUAGUUUUCGGACUAAGAGACCGGCGCACGGGUGCGGUAACGCGUAUCGCAUCUACCUUUUACAGAGGGAUAGCCCAGAGAAAUUUGGAUUAAUACCUCAUAGCAUUGCAGAAUGGCAUCAUUUAGCAAUUAAAGUUCCAACGGUAAAAGAUGAGCAUGCGUCCCAUUAGCUAGAUGGUAAGGUAACGGCUUACCAUGGCUACGAUGGGUAGGGGUCCUGAGAGGGAGAUCCCCCACACUGGUACUGAGACACGGACCAGACUCCUACGGGAGGCAGCAGUGAGGAAUAUUGGACAAUGGGCGCAAGCUUGAUCCAGCCAUGCCGCGUGCGGGAUGACGGUCCUAUGGCUUGUAAACUGCUUUUAUACGAGAAGAACACUACUUCGUGAAGAAGCUUGACGGUUUCGUAGAAAUAAGGUUGGGUUAAUUCCGUGCAACCGGCCGCGUAAAUACGGAGAAUCCAGGCGUUAUCCGAAUCUUUGGUUUUAAGGGCCCCGAGGCGGGC
RNAcentral lists this ribosomal RNA (524 nucleotides) under bacterium het-d-17. Its description in RNAcentral is "bacterial SSU rRNA". It matches the Rfam family "Bacterial small subunit ribosomal RNA", at positions 52 to 580 of the family's 1533-position model. The record is from RNAcentral.